GUCGCAGCGGAGGUCGACGCCGGGCGGCACGUCGGCGACCGGCGACGCUCUGUCUCGUGAGGGAUGAAGCGGAACCUGGGGGAUGGGGGAGCGUCCCGGUUAGAUGACCUUUUCCCCAUGAGAAGGGAAUCUGGAUUCUGCCCUCUGAAAGCCCCGACCAACUGCACAACAAGCCUUGUUAAGGGCCAGUCGGCACACAAUACCUGACUUAGUCCCACCUCGCCAAAAGUAUAAAUCUGGCAUUCAGAAUCCUCUUUUUUGAGGACGAGAACUCCAACUAUCUGGACAGGUUGACGGGCCUGGACCUCUCUCUCUCCUCCCCAAGCAGGGACGCCUCUUUGGUGCCACGGCACGAUUUGGAUUCCCGCACGACAGCCUCGAGUGAGGUUUUUGUGGAGUAUCCAAGCAACAGCGAAGGAGCGGUGCAGUUAGCAAGGCAUCUUCCCUGGUCCCUGCCUAUGAGCGCUAACUCUACAGAGUCAGGCGGAGCGGCGAUGCUGACUUAAGGGACAGGGCAGGGAAUCAGAGUAGCUAUCCAGGUGACUGCAAGCUGCACGUGUUUGGCCAGGGGUUGGAAUCAGAGGAUCCAGAUUGCAUUGUAGUAGAAAGCUCUGGAACGAGAAAAAUGUUAAGCGAAGCAGGAGAGAUUGACUGUCAAUGUGC
Long non-coding RNA from Grus americana (Whooping crane), 663 nucleotides. RefSeq lists it as uncharacterized. Lineage: Eukaryota; Metazoa; Chordata; Aves; Gruiformes; Gruidae. The record is from RefSeq and is a predicted model, not a curated record. The transcript is spliced from 4 exons.